AUGAAUUUAGCGGCGCGGAAUUCGCCCUUGUGCCAAGCAGCCGCGGUAAUUCCAGCUCCAAUAGCGUAUAUUAAAGUUGUUGCCGUUAAAAAGCUCGUAGUCGAACUUCGGCGCCUGAUGGCCGGUCCGCCUUCUUGGUGUGUACUUGCUCAUCGGGCGCUUACCUCCUGGUGAACUCUGAUGUCCUUUACUGGGUGUCAGAGCAAACCAGGACGUUUACUUUGAAAAAAUUAGAGUGUUCAAAGCAGGCCUACGCCCGAAUACAUUAGCAUGGAAUAAUAGAAUAGGACGCGCGUUCCCAUUUUGUUGGUUUCUGAGAUCGCCGUAAUGAUUAAUAGGGAUAGUUGGGGGCAUUUGUAUUCCGUCGUCAGAGGUGAAAUUCUUGGAUUGCCGGAAGACAAACUAUUGCGAAAGCAUUUGCCAAGGAUGUUUUCAUUGAUCAAGAACGAAGGAAGGGGGAUCGAAAACGAUCAGAUACCGUUGUAGUCUCUUCUGUAAACUAUGCCAAUUGGGGAUUAGCACAGGAUUUUCAAUGACUGUGUUAGCACCCGAAGAGAAAUCUUUAAAUGAGGUUCGGGGGGGAGUAUGGUCGCAAGGCUGAAACUUAAAGGAAUUGACGGAAGGGCACCACCAGGUGUGGAGCCUGCGGCUUAAUUUGACUCAACACGGGGAAACUCACCAGGUCCAGACACAAUAAGGAUUGACAGAUUGAUAGCUCUUUCUUGAUCUUGUGGUUGGUGGUGCAUGGCCGUUCUUAGUUGGUGGAGUGAUUUGUCUGGUUAAUUCCGAUAACGAACGAGACCUUAACCUGCUAAAUAGACCAGUCGACUUUGGUUGACUGCUGUCUUCUUAGAGGGACUAUCAGCGUUUAGCUGAUGGAAGUUUGAGGCAAUAACAGGUCUGUGAUGCCC
This 911-nucleotide ribosomal RNA is filed under the name uncultured Sporidiobolales. RNAcentral's name for it is "SSU rRNA". It matches the Rfam family "Eukaryotic small subunit ribosomal RNA", at positions 539 to 1472 of the family's 1831-position model. The record is from RNAcentral. Lineage: Eukaryota; Fungi; Basidiomycota; Microbotryomycetes; Sporidiobolales.